Molecule: ribosomal RNA, 449 nt
Filed under: uncultured bacterium
Lineage: Bacteria
Description: bacterial SSU rRNA
Rfam family: Bacterial small subunit ribosomal RNA
Source: RNAcentral
UACCAUGCAGUCGAGGGGCCCUUCGGGGUCACUGGCGCACGGGUGAGUAACACGUAGGUCAUCUGCCCCUAUCACAGACAUAACUCCGGGAAACCGGUGCUAAUAUCUGAUGAGGUCGCGAGAUCAAAGCUUCGGCGGAUAGGGAUGAGCCUGCGGCUGAUUAGCUAGUUGGUGAGGUAAUGGCUCACCAAGGCAACGAUCAGUAGCUGGUCUGAGAGGACGAACAGCCACACUGGAACUGAGACACGGUCCAGACUCCUACGGGAGGCAGCAGUGAGGAAUAUUGGUCAAUGGGAGCAAUCCUGAACCAGCAAUGCCGCGUGUGGGAUGACAGGGCUUCGCCUUGUAAACCACUGUCGGAUGGGACGAGAGGGAGCUUCUGGCUCCUGGGACGGUACCAUCAAAGGAAGGGUCGGCUAACUACGUGCCAGCAGCCCCGGUCAACCCAA